UAGACUAUACUUUCAGGGAUCAUUUCUAUAGUUGGUGACUAGAGAAGUGUGUCCGAAAGUGAUCAAUAGCCAAAGAUAUCUUAUU
This 85-nucleotide small nucleolar RNA is filed under the name Alligator mississippiensis (American alligator). Its description in RNAcentral is "Small nucleolar RNA U3". It matches the Rfam family "Small nucleolar RNA U3", at positions 1 to 99 of the family's 219-position model. Rfam says of the family: Small nucleolar RNAs (snoRNAs) are involved in the processing and modification of rRNA in the nucleolus. There are two main classes of snoRNAs: the box C/D class, and the box H/ACA class. The record is from Rfam by way of RNAcentral. Lineage: Eukaryota; Metazoa; Chordata; Crocodylia; Alligatoridae.